Long non-coding RNA from Mastomys coucha (southern multimammate mouse), 1203 nucleotides. RefSeq lists it as uncharacterized. The record is from RefSeq and is a predicted model, not a curated record. NCBI's taxonomy places the organism in Eukaryota, Metazoa, Chordata, Mammalia, Rodentia, Muridae. The transcript is spliced from 7 exons.
GAGAAUUUGGCGGGAAGAAAGGGGUGAGCAGAGGUGCAUGUUCUGGCACUUUCCACGAAGGCUACUCUCCUGCGUGGGGGAGGGUGAGACGCACCCCUCCCUCCUCCAACAAGUACACCUCAGCUGAGAUUUGGGGAUCGCCUCACCUGUAUUUACAAACCCACCACCGCACUCCCUGCACCGUGCACCCGCAACUUCGCCAUCCACAGCUAGCCGCAGCAGAGCCGAACAGACCGAGGGGGAAAGACAGACAAAUCGGCGCGAGCGAGCGCAGGGACCGGGCAGCGGGGAGCGCGAGCGCGGGUUCAAUUAGCGAAACAAAGCAAUCAUGGCGGAGCGAGCACACCGGGCUGCGCGCCCCGAGGACUCGGCGACCGCCCCGCGCCCUGGCCGACAUGUGAGUUGGUUGCCCUCCUGAGAACAUCUAACUGCCACUCCAGAAUGAGAUGAGUAAGGCUCCAUAUUAGUGAUAUGGGCUGAAGAAACCCCUUCCAGAAGACAGGAUGUUUAAGAGUGACAGCUCAGUUGUCCUCCUUCUCUGCUGGGAAGUGCUCCUGGGACACCAUUCCAUCUUGUCUGGAAUGUUUAAGGUGCUCUUAUUAACUGUACAGAUAGCUUGUCUGGCUUUGAGCCUUGAACUCAUCUAAAGGAACCAGGUGAUAACCAUAGUGUGUCUGGACUCACCUUGGACCCUGGCUCUCUCUAAGGAUCUCACUGGGUAAUCCCUGGCUGUCCUGGAAUUUACCAUGUAGAAGAGAAUGGUCUGAAACUCACAAAGAUCCAUUCUCCUGUCUCUGUCUUGUACCUUCAAGUAGUGAGAUUAAAGAUGUGUGGCUCCAAAUCUGGCUUCAAACUGUUAGGCAGAAUCAAAGAAUCUUCACCUUCUCAAACAUAGGAGUCCAAAUUGCACAAGUGCAUUAAGGCUUCUGACUGUCACACCACAACACUUGAAACUAUUUGAUUCCAGUGAAUGAGUGGAACAAGACUGUCUGAAAGCAGAGGACACCUCUGUCCUGAAGAGCCGCACUCUGCAACUUCCAGCUAUAAAGAGUUUCUACCACUCUCCUUCUGCAUCAGGCAACAAGAAGAGAUUGAGCCCCCAGGGAAUCAUAGGUAUCAUUCAGACUGACUAGGAGAAUGAAUGAAAGGCACAAAUGGACCACAGCAGUCAUCACACCCCUUCUGAGCUAACUCCUGGAGACC